GCAGACACAUUCCAGCCAAUCAGCAGCAGACCCUCCCUCCCAGACCCUCCCACCUCCUGGACAGCAUCCAUUGUGAAGCUGCAUUCUUAGUGAGCUGUCCAGGAGGUUGGAGGGUCUGGGAGGGAGGGUCUGCUGCUGAUUGGCUGGAAUGUGUCUG
Molecule: non-coding RNA, 157 nt
Organism: Pelobates cultripes (western spadefoot toad)
Lineage: Eukaryota; Metazoa; Chordata; Amphibia; Anura; Pelobatidae
Source: the annotation of a GenBank genome assembly